Non-coding RNA from Vicia faba (fava bean), 321 nucleotides. NCBI's taxonomy places the organism in Eukaryota, Viridiplantae, Streptophyta, Magnoliopsida, Fabales, Fabaceae. The record is from the annotation of a GenBank genome assembly.
AUGUAUUACAACGACAACAACGCUCAUGUUGAAUUCAAGCUUUCAGAUGCCUUCAAAUCUUUUGCCACAUUGAAAGAAACGUUGAAUAAUUUGCUGUCUGAUUCCGAUGACAGAAGGUUAACAAAGGUAGAGUUUCAAGAGGAUUGGAUUGAUACAAAUGAAAGGGUGAAAUACAACCUAAUCGAGUUGAAGAAUGAUGAAGAUGUGAAGGCCAUGUGGAAAUCAUUUCGCCGUAGGAUAACUAAAGGUCCGAUCGAGUUGGAUGCGCAUAUUCGAAGACGAUAUAAUAAAGUGUCUGAAACGUCUAGAAUCAUUUGGUAG